CACAAAUUUUAAGACGUCAUAUCAAAGGUCAAACUUAUUUCCCCAAUUUUCAUACCCUGCUCCCAAUUUUGCCCCCAUUCAUUGCCAUCCCAAUUAUUUCUUCAAACAAACCUGUGUAAUUGAAGACCGAAUGUAACUGUGGAAACAAUUAAUCAUCCUCUAGCAUUUAAGAUGGAGAAUCCCAAUGAUCAAAACCGCCCGAGUGAAGAGGAUGCUUGGUGUUCUCUGAUGUUGAUAAAUCACGGAUCAAAUCGCCUCCCCCUUUCAGGGUAACCGGGUGAAGAAGACGACCGGUAAACCAAACGACGUGCACCCGUUUCUGCCGAGUUCGAGUUACAGUCCAAACUUCAGGGUUAAAAUCCGGUUCUAUCACCCUCCUCCGUUCAUCCGGAUCUUGUGGUGAACAACAAGGGUGUGAAUAAAUUGAUGUGAAGAACUGGGGUUCGAUCCGAGUUUCAAAGUGUAAGCAAACUGAAGAUACAACAACCAAGCUUGAUCUGGACGGGCUUGUUGUUAUUGGUGAAGAUGAUUCAACACAAAUACAUUCCUUGUUACUGGAUAUUAUAGUUAAUUUAUUUAUCUUAAUGAACUUCAAUACUUGUCGAUUAUUUUUCUUCUCUGUGUUUAGAUUUUUGAAUAUAUACUCUACAAGAGUAAGAAUUAGAAGACUCGAUCCAUUGAUGCUGAAAGACCAUUAAUGGGGACUGAAAUGUAAAGAAGCAGUUACAAAUUUUGGCUUUGAUACUGCAUAUAAGAUUAUUCAACCAACGGUGUCAAAUCGAUUCCAUAUACAUUUGGUUUUAUGCUCUCUUGAUAUCAUGCCUGAUUACAGUUGCAGCAGGCGGCUUGCUUGGGUAUGGGAACUGGAAGGGGAUGGCUCUUUUUUUUUGUUCGGAGUGUGAAACAGCGGCUGCAGGCUACUCGAUCUACUCCUGCUCCUUUUGUAUGCAAAAGAAAUGGCUAGGUUCUUAAAAAAGUGGAAAUUGUGGCUUGCGUGAAUCUGUGACUUGAAGACAUAUAAUUAAAUUUUUGUACAAAUGUGCAUGUGGCAUAAGCUCGAAAUUUUAAUUCUAUUUAUGAUUGGGUUGAU
Molecule: long non-coding RNA, 1090 nt
Organism: Helianthus annuus (common sunflower)
Lineage: Eukaryota; Viridiplantae; Streptophyta; Magnoliopsida; Asterales; Asteraceae
Exons: 3
Source: RefSeq, a predicted model, not a curated record